Molecule: long non-coding RNA, 809 nt
Organism: Xyrauchen texanus (razorback sucker)
Lineage: Eukaryota; Metazoa; Chordata; Actinopteri; Cypriniformes; Catostomidae
Exons: 3
Source: RefSeq, a predicted model, not a curated record
UAAAAAGCUCACAGAACAACGCCGUAAAAAGUGGAUUUUUAACGUACGUCUGCGGUCGGGAGGAGCAGAGUCUGUUAAUGCCCGUGUCUGCAGUGACCACUUCGUCGGAGGUUGCCCUAGCGCUUUGGGUGACGUUGAGUCGGUAGAUUUGGCUCCGACGGUCAACCUAGGUUACCAAAAAACUAAGCCCAAAUCAGAGGCGUCUCUUAAACGAGAGCAAAUGAUGAAGAUCAAGGAAGACCAACAAAGACGGUCGGAAUGUGCAGAUGCUAUGUUGGAUCUCCAGCAGACAGAUGAGAGUCCGGAUCUGACGCAGACAGCCGAAAGCUCAGAACCGAGGCUGACAACAACCCACAAUCAGAGGAGAUCAGUGGGAAUGGGACAUUAAAUGAUAAAGGCUAUGUAGAUGCCGGAUGCCAGACUGAGCUAACAAUGGAUGACAUCGAGAAGAUGGAGGAUGUUCUGAGACAAAACACAACAGAGCUGGGAGAUCUUCGAGCCAAAGCACUGGACACACAGUUCAACAAGGAGUCCUUUGAAAAAAACGAAGACAAGACAAUGUUCUACACGGGGCUCCCCAACUUCUUAGUUUUAAUUCAGAUUUUUGAGCUGUGCAAACCCUACAUCAGCUGUGGUCCUAUGUCUGUGCUGUCUAAAUUUGAACAGUUCAUUUUAGUUUUGAUGAAGCUGAGACUAAAUCUCCCGCUGAAAGAUUUAGCUUUCAGGUUCAAGAUCUCUCUGCCAACUGCUUCUAGAGUUUGGCAUAAAGUAAUUGACAUACUUCAUGAAAGGUUGGGAUUUCAAAUUGA